Long non-coding RNA from Sarcophilus harrisii (Tasmanian devil), 340 nucleotides. RefSeq lists it as uncharacterized. The record is from RefSeq and is a predicted model, not a curated record. NCBI's taxonomy places the organism in Eukaryota, Metazoa, Chordata, Mammalia, Dasyuromorphia, Dasyuridae. The transcript is spliced from 3 exons.
UGAGGGUUGCAGUUUGGUCCUGGAAAUUUCCCAGGGGAAAUAAUACAAUGUUCAAAAUUUCUAUCUGUCCUCUGGAGAGGGUCAUUGGUCGCAGACAUUUUAUUUUAAAAUGUCACCAAGUUUAGAUUCAGAGAAAGGUGAAAGACUAUUAUCAGAAGGCAUUUCCUAGAGAAAACAGGUAACUAUGGAGAUGAAGUAAUGGAGAGGUUCAGACGCUGUGAAUGACUCGUCCUGGCUCCUGUAGCUAAGUGUCCAAGUCUGGACUCAAACCCAGAAAUCUCCAGACCUUUAGAUCACUUCCCUGUGAUCCUCCUGAAGACUUGAAGAAGAGGGCCAAUGA